RNAcentral lists this long non-coding RNA (1400 nucleotides) under Carica papaya (papaya). RNAcentral describes it as "long non-coding RNA (CPAP_LNC012221)". The record is from RNAcentral. Lineage: Eukaryota; Viridiplantae; Streptophyta; Magnoliopsida; Brassicales; Caricaceae.
GCAAAGAAGGGAUGUACACCAUCGCAGCUAGCACUGGCAUGGGUUCACCACCAAGGAGACGAUGUAUGUCCUAUACCUGGAACCACCAAGAUUGCAAACCUGAACCAGAACAUGGGAGCUUUGUCAGUGAAACUGACUCCUGAAGAGAUGGCUGAACUUGAAUUCAUUGCUUCAGCUGAUGGGGUCAAGGGUGAUAGAUAUAUGUCCAACUUUGCUACGUACGAGAAUUCCGAAACUCCUCCCCUGUCUUCAUGGAAAGCUGAAUAAGCCAACACAUUCUCUUAUAAAUGGUUUGUAAUGUCUUUUCCUUCUUAUAUGAAAUGGGCAUAUCUUUGAAAUAUAUUUUGCUUGUGCUUUGUUCCAGUAGCAUGGUAAGAGAGGACAUUUGCCAUGCCUUACCAUGUUGUGCGUGUAAUAUUUACAGAGUUUGUUUUACAUAAUAAAGCAUUAAUUAUGCUUGGAGCUCUAUAUAGUCUAAUACUCGAUGGUUAAAAUGGUUGAAUGAUAAAUAAAUUUUACCUUUGUGGGAUUAGAAGGGGGUUAGAACUGAUGACCCUAGAGAGAUUAAAGACAGGUCUGAGGAGUUCAACACAGAACAUUUUGGGAAAGGAAAUACAGUGUAUCUUCUGCAAUUUACAGAUGACACAUUAUUUUUGUGCUCUAGUGGAGAGCUUGGUUUGUUCAUACCCCAUUAUAUAUCAGUCACUGAUGGAUCAAGUAAAAUUGAGAUAAAAUAGUCAAAUUAUAAUCCUCUUUAUUACAUACAAGCUGCAAACCCAACCAAUUUUAAUUAUUAAUCAUGUCUUACUAUCGAAGUAAUUAACUAAUUAACUAAUCUAUUUCAUGAAAUGAUAAUGCACACAACAGCCCACUAUAUGAAAGGGAAAAAUCACGAGCAUAAAAAUCACAAGAUCAUCACAACAUCUCUUAACCUCAAGCAAUUAAUCCCCCAUUGAACCGAACCAAGCUUGUUCCAAUUGCUACCUUGUCAUAUCCCAGGAACAUAUAUGGCUGGAAGCAUAGGUGCACGACUCUCUCUGAACUGUUUCUUCACAGAGACGACUGUUCAUCUUCUUCCUCCAUGCGAUGCGACCGACGGGAUGAAAAGGCUGCUCCGAAUGGCAGCUUCUGGUGCAUGGCAACGAUUGACAGUUCGAAAAGACGAUUCACAUACAAUUUCAUACCUAUAAAUACGAGAUUGUAAAUCAAAAUCAUCAUCUUGUAAUUUGUUGGAAAUGAAUCUCAAAUAAUCUCUCUCUCUCUCUCUUAAAUAUUCCAGCUCUCUCUCUCUAAGAGACUCUUCUCUUUCACACACACCUCUUCUCACUUCCCGACUCGACUCCCUUUCUUCUCUCUCUCUCUCUCCAGAAAUCUUAAUUUAUUUUCUAAAAAUUACAAUU